AUGCUACGACGACAUGUGGCCGGCUGGUGCGUCAAGGUGAUCUGUGACCACCUUGGGCUAGGAGUCAAAGACGGGGCUACCCUACAUCUGGCACAGCAAGGGCAGCAACCCAUUCGUGAACCUGAAGAAGGAGUACAAGGGCAUCUUCUGGCAGGAGGACAUCAUCCCCUUCUUCCAGGUCGUGAAGCUGACAAGGAAUGCGACACCAUGCAGAAGUGCUACAUCUCGCUCUCGCAGCAGGUCAAGGAGAAGCUCGGCAAGAUCGACCCGUACUUCAUCAAGCUCGCCGACGCCAUGGUCACCUAG
This 306-nucleotide ribosomal RNA is filed under the name Triticum aestivum (bread wheat). RNAcentral's name for it is "partial small subunit ribosomal RNA". Lineage: Eukaryota; Viridiplantae; Streptophyta; Magnoliopsida; Poales; Poaceae. The record is from RNAcentral.